Molecule: ribosomal RNA, 568 nt
Filed under: uncultured bacterium
Lineage: Bacteria
Description: bacterial SSU rRNA
Rfam family: Bacterial small subunit ribosomal RNA
Source: RNAcentral
AGGCAGCCUGCCCUCAAGUUUGGGACAACUACCGGAAACGGUAGCUAAUACCGAAUAGUUGUUUCCUUCGCCUGAAGGAAACUGGAAAGACGGAGCAAUCUGUCACUUGGGGAUGGGCCUGCGGCGCAUUAGCUAGUUGGUGGGGUAACGGCUCACCAAGGCGACGAUGCGUAGCCGACCUGAGAGGGUGAUCGGCCACACUGGGACUGAGACACGGCCCAGACUCCUACGGGAGGCAGCAGUAGGGAAUCUUCCGCAAUGGGCGAAAGCCUGACGGAGCAAUGCCGCGUGAGUGAUGAAGGUUUUCGGAUCGUAAAGCUCUGUUGCCAGGGAAGAACGCUUGGGAGAGUAACUGCUCUCAAGGUGACGGUACCUGAGAAGAAAGCCCCGGCUAACUACGUGCCAGCAGCCGCGGUAAUACGUAGGGGGCAAGCGUUGUCCGGAAUUAUUGGGCGUAAAGCGCGCGCAGGCGGUCAUUUAAGUCUGGUGUUUAAUCCCGGGGCUCAACCCCGGAUCGCACUGGAAACUGGGUGACUUGAGUGCAGAAGAGGAGAGUGGAAUUCCACGU